UGAGUCGAUUUCCGAAUGGGGAAACCCAACUGCACAAGCAGUUACUGUUAACUGAAUACAUAGGUUAACAGAGCAAACCGGGGGAACUGAAACAUCUAAGUACCCCGAGGAGAAGAAAUCAACCGAGAUUCCGGUAGUAGCGGCGAGCGAACCUGGAUUAGCCCUUAAGCACUCGGUGAAGUAGGUGAACAAGCUGGAAAGCUUGGCGAUACAGGGUGAUAGCCCCGUAACCGACGCUUCAUCGAGCGUGAAAUCGAGUAGGGCGGGACACGUGAUAUCCUGUCUGAAUAUGGGGGGACCAUCCUCCAAGGCUAAAUACUCCUGACUGACCGAUAGUGAACCAGUACCGUGAGGGAAAGGCGAAAAGAACCCCUGUGAGGGGAGUGAAAUAGAACCUGAAACCGUGUACGUACAAGCAGUAGGAGCACCUUCGUGGUGUGACUGCGUACCUUUUGUAUAAUGGGUCAGCGACUUAUAUUCAGUGGCAAGGUUAACCGUAUAGGGGAGCCGUAGCGAAAGCGAGUCUUAACUGGGCGCUCAGUCUCUGGAUAUAGACCCGAAACCGGGUGAUCUAGCCAUGGGCAGGUUGAAGGUUGAGUAACAUCAACUGGAGGACCGAACCGACUAAUGUUGAAAAAUUAGCGGAUGACUUGUGGCUAGGGGUGAAAGGCCAAUCAAACUCGGAGAUAGCUGGUUCUCCCCGAAAGCUAUUUAGGUAGCGCCUCGGACGAAUACUACUGGGGGUAGAGCACUGUUAAGGCUAGGGGGUCAUCCCGACUUACCAACCCUUUGCAAACUCCGAAUACCAGUAAGUACUAUCCGGGAGACACACGGCGGGUGCUAACGUCCGUCGUGGAGAGGGAAACAACCCAGACCGCCAGCUAAGGUCCCAAAGUAUUGCUAAGUGGGAAACGAUGUGGGAAGGCUCAGACAGCUAGGAUGUUGGCUUAGAAGCAGCCAUCAUUUAAAGAAAGCGUAAUAGCUCACUAGUCGAGUCGGCCUGCGCGGAAGAUGUAACGGGGCUAAGCAAUACACCGAAGCUGCGGCAAUGCCUUUUAGGUAUUGGGUAGGGGAGCGUUCUGUAAGCCGUUGAAGGUGGUCUGUAAGGGCUGCUGGAGGUAUCAGAAGUGCGAAUGCUGACAUGAGUAACGACAAAGGGGGUGAAAAACCUCCUCGCCGGAAGACCAAGGGUUCCUGUCCAACGUUAAUCGGGGCAGGGUGAGUCGACCCCUAAGGUGAGGCCGAAAGGCGUAAUCGAUGGGAAACGGGUUAAUAUUCCCGUACUUCUGACUAUUGCGAUGGGGGGACGGAGAAGGCUAGGUGGGCCAGGCGACGGUUGUCCUGGUUCAAGUGCGUAGGCUUAAGAGUUAGGUAAAUCCGGCUCUUUCUAAGGCUGAGACACGACGUCGAGCUGCUACGGCAGUGAAGUCAUUGAUGCCAUGCUUCCAGGAAAAGCCUCUAAGCUUCAGAUAGUCAGGAAUCGUACCCCAAACCGACACAGGUGGUCGGGUAGAGAAUACCAAGGCGCUUGAGAGAACUCGGGUGAAGGAACUAGGCAAAAUGGUACCGUAACUUCGGGAGAAGGUACGCUCUUGAUGGUGAAGUCCCUUGCGGAUGGAGCUGACGAGAGUCGCAGAUACCAGGUGGCUGCAACUGUUUAUUAAAAACACAGCACUGUGCAAAAUCGCAAGAUGACGUAUACGGUGUGACGCCUGCCCGGUGCCGGAAGGUUAAUUGAUGGGGUUAGCGCAAGCGAAGCUCUUGAUCGAAGCCCCGGUAAACGGCGGCCGUAACUAUAACGGUCCUAAGGUAGCGAAAUUCCUUGUCGGGUAAGUUCCGACCUGCACGAAUGGCGUAAUGAUGGCCACGCUGUCUCCACCCGAGACUCAGUGAAAUUGAAAUCGCUGUGAAGAUGCAGUGUACCCGCGGCUAGACGGAAAGACCCCGUGAACCUUUACUACAGCUUGGCACUGAACAUUGAACCUACAUGUGUAGGAUAGGUGGGAGGCUAUGAAGACGUGACGCUAGUUGCGUUGGAGCCGUCCUUGAAAUACCACCCUUGUAUGUUUGAUGUUCUAACUUAGCCCCAUUAUCUGGGGUGAGGACAGUGCCUGGUGGGUAGUUUGACUGGGGCGGUCUCCUCCCAAAGAGUAACGGAGGAGCACGAAGGUGGGCUAAUCACGGUUGGACAUCGUGAGGUUAGUGCAAUGGCAUAAGCCCGCUUAACUGCGAGAAUGACGGUUCGAGCAGGUGCGAAAGCAGGUCAUAGUGAUCCGGUGGUUCUGUAUGGAAGGGCCAUCGCUCAACGGAUAAAAGGUACUCCGGGGAUAACAGGCUGAUACCGCCCAAGAGUUCAUAUCGACGGCGGUGUUUGGCACCUCGAUGUCGGCUCAUCACAUCCUGGGGCUGAAGUCGGUCCCAAGGGUAUGGCUGUUCGCCAUUUAAAGUGGUACGCGAGCUGGGUUUAGAACGUCGUGAGACAGUUCGGUCCCUAUCUGCCGUGGGCGUUGGAAGAUUGAAGGGGGCUGCUCCUAGUACGAGAGGACCGGAGUGGACGAACCUCUGGUGUUCGGGUUGUGUCGCCAGACGCAUUGCCCGGUAGCUAAGUUCGGAAUUGAUAAGCGCUGAAAGCAUCUAAGCGCGAAGCGAGCCCUGAGAUGAGUCUUCCCUGAUACUUUAAGUAUCCUAAAGGGUUGUUCGAGACUAGAACGUUGAUAGGCAGGGUGUGUAAGCGUUGUGAGGCGUUGAGCUAACCUGUACUAAUUGCCCGUGAGGCUUAACCA
This 2783-nucleotide ribosomal RNA is filed under the name Vibrio cholerae. RNAcentral describes it as "23S ribosomal RNA". It matches the Rfam family "Bacterial large subunit ribosomal RNA". The record is from RNAcentral. Lineage: Bacteria; Pseudomonadati; Pseudomonadota; Gammaproteobacteria; Vibrionales; Vibrionaceae.